This 253-nucleotide non-coding RNA is filed under the name anaerobic digester metagenome. RNAcentral's name for it is "T-box". It matches the Rfam family "T-box leader". Rfam says of the family: Uncharged tRNA acts as the effector for transcription antitermination of genes in the T-box leader family. The record is from RNAcentral.
CUAAAAGCUGCGAAGGGGAAGAGUAGGCCGUGCUUGAAAACCCGGACAGAGAGCGGGGUCAGGUGAAAGCCCGCCGGGGAUUACCGGUCGAAGAUGGCCCCGGAGCUGCGCGGCUGAAAUAAGACGUAAGCCGUGCCGGAUUCCCCGUUACAGGAUCAGGGUAUGGGGGACAUCCCCGUACCCGCUGAGGCCGCCUUUGCAAAAAGGCGGUAAAAAGGGUGGUACCGCGGAAAAUGAAUACCCCGCCCCUCUG